Non-coding RNA from Tupaia belangeri chinensis (Chinese tree shrew), 591 nucleotides. Lineage: Eukaryota; Metazoa; Chordata; Mammalia; Scandentia; Tupaiidae. The record is from the annotation of a RefSeq genome assembly.
GGUCCCUCCCCAGCUGUGGGCUCAGAGGCAGAGCUCUGGGGUGUCUCCACCAUGGCCUGGACCCCUCUCCUGCUCCCCCUCCUCACUCUCUGCACAGGAUCUGUGGCCUCCUCUGCACUGACUCAGCCGUCUACGGUGUCUGUGGUCCUGGGACAGACAGCCAGGAUCACCUGCCAGGGAGGAGAUUUAAAAACCUAUGCAGCUCACUGGUACCAACAGAUGCCAGGCCAGAGUCCUGCACUGCUCAUCUAUGGUGACAGGAGAAAGGCCUCAGGGGUCUCUGACAGAUUCUCUGGCUCCAGCUCAGGUGGAACAGCCGCCCUGACCAUCACUAGGGCCCAGGCUGAGGAUGAGGCUGAGUAUUACUGUCAUUCAGCGGACAGCAGCGGUAAAUAUCCCACAGUGACACAGGAGAAUGGGGAACCCUCCAGGUACUGCCCCCAGGGCUCAGCCCCACACAACCAGGGAGCAGCCUGGCCUGAACUUCAGCUCAGCACAGGGGGUGCUGCAGGGGGCUCUGUGACCUCCUCUGCACCUGCUCAGCCACCUGUGGUAUCUGUGGCCCCGGGAGAGCCGGCCAGGAUCAUCUGA